GACGAACGCUGGCGGCGUGCCUGAUACAUGCAAGUAGAACGCUGAAGGAGGAGCUUGCUUCUCCGGAUGAGUUGCGAACGGGUGAGUAACUCGUAGGUAACCUGCCUGGUAGCGGGGGAUAACUAUUGGAAACGUUAGCUAAUACCGCAUAAAAGUAGAUGUUGCAUGACAUUUGCUUAAAAGGUGCGAUUGCAUCACUACCAGAUGGACCUGCGUUGGUAUUAGCUAGUUGGUGGGGUAACGGGCUCCACCAAGGCGACGAUUCGUUGCCUACCUGAUGAGGGUGAUCUGCCCACACUGGGACCUGGGACACGGCCCCAUACUCCUUCUGGGGGCAGCAGUUGGGGAAUUUUCUGGAAUGGUUUUGUAGCUUGACCGAUCAAUGCCCUCGGAUGGAAGAAGGUUUUCGGAUUUGAAAAGAUUUUUGGUGAUAUAAAAAAGAAGGUUGAUGGGUUGAAUUUGCAUUGUGAACGUG
RNAcentral lists this ribosomal RNA (475 nucleotides) under uncultured Aeromonadaceae bacterium. RNAcentral's name for it is "bacterial SSU rRNA". It matches the Rfam family "Bacterial small subunit ribosomal RNA", at positions 28 to 490 of the family's 1533-position model. Lineage: Bacteria; Pseudomonadati; Pseudomonadota; Gammaproteobacteria; Aeromonadales; Aeromonadaceae. The record is from RNAcentral.